Molecule: non-coding RNA, 74 nt
Organism: Cucurbita pepo subsp. pepo (vegetable marrow)
Lineage: Eukaryota; Viridiplantae; Streptophyta; Magnoliopsida; Cucurbitales; Cucurbitaceae
Source: the annotation of a RefSeq genome assembly
AUCUGGGUGGUGUAGUUGGUUAUCAUGCUAGUCUCACACACUAGAGGUCUUUGGUUCAAACUCGGGCUCAGACA